GAAGGAUCAUUACGGGUUCGAGAGGGGAUCUCCCCCCCCGGUCAAUCCUCCGCUUCGGGGUUCCUCCGGGGUUACCCCAGGCUCGGAAACCGGUGAACCUGGCGCGUCGGCGACACGAGGCUCCCCGACGGGUACCCGCCUGGCCUCUUGGGGCCGUGGGUCAAAGACCUUUCCGUCUUGACGGGGAGGGGCCCCUCCGGGGGUUUGCCGACCCCCCGUUUUUUUUUUUUUCCCUCCAACAUCCUCUUUGUGGUGUCGGACCCUGAAACGAACACGACAAAAAGAGUACAACUCUUAGCGGUGGAUCACUCGGCUCGUGCGUCGAUGAAGAACGCAGCUAGCUGCGAGAACUAAUGUGAAUUGCAGGACACAUCGAUCAUCGACACUUCGAACGCACUUUGCGGCCCCGGGUUCCUCCCGGGGCCACGCCUGUCUGAGCGUCGCUUUGCCAUCGAUCGGGGCCUCCGCGCCCCGCGGCUGGAACGUCGCAGGCCUUCGGGCCUACGUCCUCCUAAGCGCAGACCGUCACGCCACCGUCUCUCGACCCGUGGUCCGAACCUCCGUCUUCCCCUCGUCACCGGGGGGAGGACGGCGCGUCGGGGACCGCGAGGGUCCUCCUCUCGCGGCUGCCGGUGGGUCUGACCCCGACCGCUGCCCGCGUGCGGAGCGCUCCCUCUCACCCCUCGGCGCGAGCGUUCGUCCCCACGACGAGCGACGCGAGCGCGACCCAGCAAUCUCCGAGGCCAGCGCUCCCUCCUCCUCGGACGGGAGCCGGCCGAUCCUCUCACCCUCGCUACGACCUCAGAUCAGACGAGACAACCCGCUGAAUUUAAGCAUAUUACUAAGCGGAGGAA
RNAcentral lists this ribosomal RNA (854 nucleotides) under Danio rerio (zebrafish). Its description in RNAcentral is "eukaryotic LSU rRNA". The stretch from base 290 to 443 matches the Rfam family "5.8S ribosomal RNA". Lineage: Eukaryota; Metazoa; Chordata; Actinopteri; Cypriniformes; Danionidae. The record is from RNAcentral.